UGUCCAGUAGCACCUUAGAGACCAACUAAGUUUGUUAUGGGUAUAAGCUUUCGUGUGCAUGCACACUUCUUCAGAUACACAGUGUGCAUGCACAUGAAAGCUUAUAGCCAGAACAAACUUAGUUGGUCUUUAAGGUGCUACUGGACA
This 147-nucleotide microRNA precursor is filed under the name Podarcis lilfordi (Lilford's wall lizard). The record is from RNAcentral. Lineage: Eukaryota; Metazoa; Chordata; Lepidosauria; Squamata; Lacertidae.